GGAGUGAGUAGAGCGGCGGACGGGUGAGUAACGCGUGGGAAUCUGCCUGGUAGUGGGGGACAACUCGGGGAAACUCCAGCUAAUACCGCAUACGCCCUACGGGGGAAAGCGGGGGAUCUUCCGACCUCCCGCUAUCAAAUGAACCCACGUCCGAAUAACUUGUUGGUGGGGUAACGGCCUACCAAGGCAACGAUCCCUAACUGGUUUGAGAAGAUGAUCAGCCACACUGGGACUGAAACACGGCCCAAACUCCUACGGGAGGCAGCAGUGGGGAAUAUUGCACAAUGGGGGAAACCCUGAUGCAGCCAUGCCGCGUGUGUGAAGAAGGCCUUCGGGUUGUAAAGCACUUUCAUUCCGGAGGAAGGCCUGUAAGUUAAUAACCUGUAAGAUUGACGUUACCGAAAGAAGAAGCACCGGCUAACUCCGUGCCAGCAGCCGCGGUAAUACGGAGGGUGCGAGCGUUAAUCGGAAUUACUGGGCGUAAAGCGCGCGUAGGCGGUUAGUUAAGCUGGAUGUGAAAGCCCAGGGCUCAACCUUGGAACUGCAUUCAGAACUGGCUGGCUAGAGUACGAGAGAGGGUAGUGGAAUUUCCUGUGUAGCGGUGAAAUGCGUAGAUAUAGGAAGGAACAUCAGUGGCGAAGGCGACUGCCUGGCUCGAUACUGACGCUGAGGUGCGAAAGCGUGGGGAGCAAACAGGAUUAGAUACCCUGGUAGUCCACGCCGUAAACGCUGUCUACUAGCCGUAGGGCUCCUUGAGGGCUUUGUGGCGCAGCUAACGCAAUAAGUAGACCGCCUGGGGAGUACGGCCGCAAGGUUAAAACUCAAAUGAAUUGACGGGGGCCCGCACAAGCGGUGGAGCAUGUGGUUUAAUUCGACGCAACGCGAAGAACCUUACCAGGGCUUGACAUCCUCGGAACUUUCCAGAGAUGGAUUGGUGCCUUCGGGAACCGAGUGACAGGUGCUGCAUGGCUGUCGUCAGCUCGUGUCGUGAAAAGGUUGGGUUAAGUCCCGUAACGGCGCAACCCUUGUCCCUGUUGCAGCACUUUGGGUGGGAACUCUAGGGAAACUGCCGUGACAACCGGAGGAAAGGGGGGGACGACAUC
RNAcentral lists this ribosomal RNA (1103 nucleotides) under Microbulbifer halophilus. Its description in RNAcentral is "bacterial SSU rRNA". It matches the Rfam family "Bacterial small subunit ribosomal RNA", at positions 83 to 1186 of the family's 1533-position model. The record is from RNAcentral. Lineage: Bacteria; Pseudomonadati; Pseudomonadota; Gammaproteobacteria; Cellvibrionales; Microbulbiferaceae.